UGUAUUUGAAGUCUGACGAGGAUGAGAACCUCCGGGGGCAAGAGGUUCGACUCGAGCGAAGCGAGAGAACGUUGCGUCAGCAACGGCCCGCAGGGCGAGCCACGCAGUGGCGAGUCAUCCUCUAUCACCGACCA
This 134-nucleotide small RNA is filed under the name Salmonella enterica. RNAcentral's name for it is "RtT sRNA". It matches the Rfam family "RtT RNA". Rfam says of the family: This family represents a bacterial cis-regulatory element known as RtT RNA. The exact function of RtT is unknown although it is thought that it may be involved in changing the cellular response in relation to amino acid starvation. RNAcentral also lists the same sequence under 1 other name. Lineage: Bacteria; Pseudomonadati; Pseudomonadota; Gammaproteobacteria; Enterobacterales; Enterobacteriaceae. The record is from RNAcentral.